Marmota marmota marmota (Alpine marmot) is the source of this 104-nucleotide small nuclear RNA. NCBI's taxonomy places the organism in Eukaryota, Metazoa, Chordata, Mammalia, Rodentia, Sciuridae. The record is from Ensembl.
AAUCAUUAAAAGUUAUUAGUUGUGUGCUUGGAACAAUACGGAGAAUAUUAACAUGGCUCCUGUGCAAGGAUGACAUGCAAAUUCGAGAAGUGUUCCAUAUUUUU